AAGUCGUAACAAGGUUUCCGUAGGUGAACCUGCGGAAGGAUCAUUAACACGUAUCCAACGUUAAAACCCCUGUGAACUUUCAGCCUGCUCUUGUGGGGUAAAUCAAGUGGGAGGAACAGUUUUGAUUCGGAACCUCUGCUCCAUAUGCGCACGCUGCAAUUGAGCGGUAGAAGCAGUGGCAUGGCGUCCCCAAGCCUCCAGUGAAUGAAAGUGUCACUGGAAAGUGUAAGGAUAACGCUUCUCGGUUGCUAGAGGUCGAUCACCGACCGGCAGACAUGCCACAGGGUCACCGCGCCCCUAAUCACUCCCUCUGAACCAUACGCCGGCGCCGUUGAAAAGCUGCGCUAAAAAAAACCGAACAACUGUUAACAAUGGAUAUCUUGGUUCUC
This 389-nucleotide unclassified non-coding RNA is filed under the name fungal sp. RNAcentral describes it as "partial internal transcribed spacer region". The stretch from base 1 to 46 matches the Rfam family "Eukaryotic small subunit ribosomal RNA", at positions 1786 to 1831 of the family's 1831-position model. The record is from RNAcentral. Lineage: Eukaryota; Fungi.